AAUGAACGUUGGCGGCGUGGAUUAGGCAUGCAAGUCGAGCGAGAAGCUUAAGAAUGAUCUUUCGAGUGAAUUCUUAAGUGGACAGCGGCGAAAGGGAGAGUAACGAGUAGAUUACGUACCCAGGGGUUUGGGAUAGCGGGGGAAACCGCCGGUAAUACCAAAUAACGUCUCCGGACCAAAGAUUUAUCGCCCUUGGAGCGGUCUGCUUACUAUUAGUUAGUUGGUGGGGUAACAGCCUACCAAGGCAAAGAUGGUUAGCGGGUGUGAGAGCAUGACCCGUCUCACUGGGACUGAGACACUGCCCAGACACCUACGGGUGGCUGCAGUCGAGAAUCUUCCGCAAUGGACGAAAGUCUGACGGAGCGACGCCGCGUGCGGGAUGAAGGCCUUCGGGUUGUAAACCGCUGUCAGAGGGGAGCAAAUUUUGAGCAAUCCUCAGAGGAAGCACAGGCUAAGUUCGUG
RNAcentral lists this ribosomal RNA (462 nucleotides) under uncultured bacterium. RNAcentral's name for it is "bacterial SSU rRNA". It matches the Rfam family "Bacterial small subunit ribosomal RNA", at positions 29 to 507 of the family's 1533-position model. The record is from RNAcentral.